This 770-nucleotide ribosomal RNA is filed under the name Bacillus subtilis. Its description in RNAcentral is "bacterial SSU rRNA". It matches the Rfam family "Bacterial small subunit ribosomal RNA", at positions 280 to 1040 of the family's 1533-position model. The record is from RNAcentral. Lineage: Bacteria; Bacillati; Bacillota; Bacilli; Caryophanales; Bacillaceae.
UGCGUAGCCGACCUGAGAGGGUGAUCGGCCACACUGGGACUGAGACACGGCCCAGACUCCUACGGGAGGCAGCAGUAGGGAAUCUUCCGCAAUGGACGAAAGUCUGACGGAGCAACGCCGCGUGAGUGAUGAAGGUUUUCGGAUCGUAAAGCUCUGUUUUUAGGGAAGAACAAGUACCGUUCGAAUAGGGCGGUACCUUGACGGUACCUAACCAGAAAGCCACGGCUAACUACGUGCCAGCAGCCGCGGUAAUACGUAGGUGGCAAGCGUUGUCCGGAAUUAUUGGGCGUAAAGGGCUCGCAGGCGGUUUCAUAAGUCUGAUGUGAAAGCCCCCGGCUCAACCGGGGAGGGUCAUUGGAAACUGGGGAACUUGAGUGCAGAAGAGGAGAGUGGAAUUCCACGUGUAGCGGUGAAAUGCGUAGAGAUGUGGAGGAACACCAGUGGCGAAGGCGACUCUCUGGUCUGUAACUGACGCUGAGGAGCGAAAGCGUGGGGAGCGAACAGGAUUAGAUACCCUGGUAGUCCACGCCGUAAACGAUGAGUGGUAAGUGUUAGGGGGUUUCCGCCCCUUAGUGCUGCAGCUAACGCAUUAAGCACUCCGCCUGGGGAGUACGGUCGCAAGACUGAAACUCAAAGGAAUUGACGGGGGCCCGCACAAGCGGUGGAGCAUGUGGUUUUAUUCGAAGCAACGCGAAGAACCUUACCAGGUCAUGACAUCCUCUGACAAUCCUAGAGAUAGGACGUCCCCUUCGGGGGCAGAGUGACAGGUG